RNAcentral lists this ribosomal RNA (404 nucleotides) under uncultured bacterium. RNAcentral describes it as "bacterial SSU rRNA". It matches the Rfam family "Bacterial small subunit ribosomal RNA", at positions 335 to 731 of the family's 1533-position model. The record is from RNAcentral.
ACUCCUACGGGAGGCAGCAGUGGGGAAUAUUGCACAAUGGGCGCAAGCCUGAUGCAGCCAUGCCGCGUGUAUGAAGAAGGCCUCGGUUGUAAAGUACUUCUAGCAGUGAGGAAGGUGGGUAGUGUUAAUAGCAUAUUCAUUUGUACGUUAGUCUGCAGAAGAAGCACCGGCUAACUCCGUGCCAGCAGCCGCGGUAAUACGGAGGGUGCGAGCGUUAAUCGGAAUUACUGGCGUAAAGCGCAUGCAGGUGGUUUGUUAAGUCAGAUGUGAAAGCCCGGGGCGUCAACCUCGGAAUUGCAUUUGAAACUGGCAAACUAGAGUACUGUAGAGGGGGUAGAAUUUCAGGUGUAGCGGUGAAAUGCGUAGAGAUCUGAAGGAAUACCGGUGGCGAAGGCGGCCCCCCU